UGCCAGCAGCCGCGGUAAUACGUGGGGAGCAAGCGUUGUUCGGAUUUACUGGGCGUAAAGAGCUCGUAGGUGGAUGUGUAAGUCGGAUGUGAAAUCCUCUGGCUCAACCAGAGAACUGCACCCGAAACUGCACAUCUUGAGUCCAGCAGAGGGAAUCGGAAUCAAGGGUGUAGCGGUGAAAUGCGUAGAGAUCCUUGAGAACACCAGUGGCGAAGGCGGAUUCCUGGGCUGGCACUGACACUGAGGAGCGAAAGCGUGGGUAGCGAACAGGAUUAGAUA
This 279-nucleotide ribosomal RNA is filed under the name uncultured bacterium. RNAcentral describes it as "partial 16S ribosomal RNA". It matches the Rfam family "Bacterial small subunit ribosomal RNA", at positions 506 to 784 of the family's 1533-position model. The record is from RNAcentral.